UAGAAUUUUUUUUCCAAGUAUCAAGAAAAGCCGGAGCCUAUUAGAAGCCUCAUAUAAUUGAAGAGAAGGAGUAAGUUUCACCCACAUGGCAACCCCUAGCACCAUUGUUUUCACUCAAUUGAAGCACUACCAGACAAAGCCAUUGCAGAUAUAUGUCAACCAAGGAAGUAUUAAAGAUCAGCUUUCGAGGUGGAAAGCAGAAGAGACCCACCUCAACAGCAAGAAGGAAUAAAAGAAGGCAUUUACUUAAAUUCUAAAAGCAUCAUCAUCAGACACUGGCUUGAACUAAUUGUUAACUUUGGUUGGCAAGUCGGUGUGAAAAAGGACGGGACACUCUGUGGAUUGGCUCUUUAGUGCAUGUUGGACUAGUUGUUGGUGUUAUAUCUCUAAAUCAAUUGAUAACAAGUGCUGCUUCACAAUCUAUAUACCAUGUUCAAGACCGGUCCAUAAGACAAACCAUUCAAGCAAUCGAUUAUGGCAUAUAUUUUAAGGGGGCAUACUUUUAUUUUAUUGUUUCACAUUAAAAUUUUGUUAAUAUUUAUAUGUAAAUAUAAUUUAUAGUUAUGUUGAAAAUAGUAAUAUUUAUAAGAACUGUAAGGAUUGA
Long non-coding RNA from Brassica napus (rape), 604 nucleotides. RefSeq lists it as uncharacterized. The transcript has 4 exons. The record is from RefSeq and is a predicted model, not a curated record. NCBI's taxonomy places the organism in Eukaryota, Viridiplantae, Streptophyta, Magnoliopsida, Brassicales, Brassicaceae.